This 301-nucleotide ribosomal RNA is filed under the name uncultured bacterium. Its description in RNAcentral is "partial 16S ribosomal RNA". It matches the Rfam family "Bacterial small subunit ribosomal RNA", at positions 509 to 807 of the family's 1533-position model. The record is from RNAcentral.
CAGUAGCCGCGGGAAUACGAAGGGGGCUAGCGUUGUUCGGAAUCACUGGGCGUAAAGGGUGCGUAGGCGGAUUCUUAAGUCAGGGGUGAAAUCCCGAGGCUCAACCUCGGAACCGCCUUUGAUACUGGGGAUCUUGAGUCCGGAAGAGGUGAGUGGAACUGCGAGUGUAGAGGUGAAAUUCGUAGAUAUUCGCAAGAACACCAGUGGCGAAGGCGGCUCACUGGUCCGGAACUGACGCUGAGGCACGACAGCGUGGGGAGCAAACAGGAUUAGAUACCCCCGUAGUCCCUGUCUCUUAUAC